UACCAUCCACCCCCCAUCGGCAACUCCUUCAUCACAAUAACAUUUUCCCCAAAUUGGGAAGGAAAAUAGCUCCAAAUCCAAUCGAGAACUCCCCCUCUCUCUCAUUUCUCUCCUUUCCUCCGGCGGGGUGUUUCGCCGCGACGAAUCUCAGCCUUGCUCUCGCCGCUGGUUGCAACGGAAGGUCCGAAUCGGACAGGGUUCGGCGCCUCCCUCCUUCGGUCACCGCCAUCGGUCUUCGAUCGGUGCUGGGUCCGCGUUGCGGAGAAAAAUCUCCCUUCGUCCCCGAGUUCUCUCUCCCUCGAGGAUUUCCCAGACGGAGGUGCAGCUGUCCCACCUCAGAGGACCUCCGCCGACCACCCUCCGCAUUCGACGUCUCGGCCCUCAUCUGUACGGUGUCGCCCUCGUCGGCCAGAGCUAAGUCCCCUCCUUGUGUCUCUUGUUUUUUUAAAGUUCUAUGCUUUUAAAUUAUUGAUCUGAUUCAACACCGUUUGAGGCGUGUUAAGAAUAGGGCAUCUGAUCUUUGGGGUUUCCAUUUGCUUCAUCAUGUUAGUAUCGUCUAUAGGUUAUUUUGGUGUGUGAUUUCGGUAUAUAGGGUGGCAUCUGCUCCUAUAUUGAAGCAUGUACUCUCUUACGUUUAUGGUUCUUUCUUCUGAUUUCGCCAAUAUGCUAAUCUACUGUCUUAUCAUGUGUUCUAGUGAGGCUGAGGUGUGUGAGAUGAAAGUUUUUCUAUCUUCUUUCAAAUUCUCAUGUCAUCAUAAAUCGUGUUCAUGCUCUGUUUCUAAUAUGCUCGAAAUGAUACUACUAGACUUAAAAUUUGAGCUGAUGGGUGUUACCUUUCCUUGCACCUCUACUGAACUUGCUAUGCUGCUCCCCUCCUCGUCCUUAAUCUCCCUCACUCCUCGACUUGCUGCUCAGUUUGGUGAGUAUAUUGUUAUGUGAUGGAGGGUGAAACCGAGGCAUGAGGUAUUUAUAGGGGUUGUAACUGAAAGCUGCAAGUUUGUUACUAAAUGCCAGAGGAAGGGGGGGGGGUCCUCGGCUGCCCUUUGAAUCUCUGAUUCUUCUUGCAAAGGUGCACGCUCGUACUCGGCACUAAACUGGAUCUCAAUCUCAUUUGUUGCCUUGUUGCAGAGUACUUUGAUGCAUUUAUGAAAUCCUUUCUUUUGGUGGCUGGUGCACUAAAAUGGUUAGGAUUUGGCUGCUGAUAUUCCUGGCAAUGGCUGGUGGAUAAAGGGGGUACGAGCUGAGGCAGGGCUGUUGGGUUGGGGUGGAGUGUACCUGCCAUUGAGCAGUGUACUGGCUGACUCUCCCUCUUUAAACCAAGCCCUUCUCUUCUCCUUGAAAAGGGAGCAAGGGGGGCUCAUUUUCCUCGUGUUAAAGAGGCCCAUAGCUAGUAGUUCCUUGUUGUUAAAUAAUAGAGUUUCUAUUUGUAGUUAUAUGUUGUAAUAUGUACUAAAAGUCUACUUAUAGUUAGCUUAUUUCCUUUAUUUUCAUCGUCAAUAUUUGUAAUGCACGAUUUAAAUUGAAAAUUCUAAAUAUCGUGUUUUGUUUA
Long non-coding RNA from Salvia splendens (bonfire salvia), 1549 nucleotides. RefSeq lists it as uncharacterized. The record is from RefSeq and is a predicted model, not a curated record. NCBI's taxonomy places the organism in Eukaryota, Viridiplantae, Streptophyta, Magnoliopsida, Lamiales, Lamiaceae. The transcript has 2 exons.